CCCUUAGAUGUCCUGGGCCGCACGCGCGCUACACUGAUACGUUCAACGAGCCUUCCUUGGUCGAGAGGCCUAGGUAAUCUUUUGAACGCGUAUCGUGAUAGGGAUAGAUCAUUGCAAUUAUUGAUCUUGAACGAGGAAUUCCUAGUAAACGCGAGUCAUCAGCUCGCAUUGAUUACGUCCCUGCCCUUUGUACACACCGCCCGUCGCACCUACCGAUUGAAUGGUCCGGUGAAGCCUCCGGAUUGGCGCGCACCUCGGUGCCGCCGAGAAGUUGGCUAAACCUUACCAUUUAGAGGAAGGUGAAGUCGUAACA
RNAcentral lists this ribosomal RNA (313 nucleotides) under uncultured eukaryote. RNAcentral's name for it is "partial 18S ribosomal RNA". It matches the Rfam family "Eukaryotic small subunit ribosomal RNA", at positions 1470 to 1796 of the family's 1831-position model. The record is from RNAcentral.